CUCAGUAACACGUGGAUAACCUGCCCUUAGGACUGGCAUAACCCCGGGAAACUGGGGAUAAUUCCGGAUAGUUCAUGGUAGCUGGAAUGCUCCAUGAUCGAAAGCUAUUGCGCCUAAGGAUGGGUCUGCGGUCUAUCAGGUAGUAGUGGGUGUAAUGUACCUACUAGCCGACGACGGAUACGGGUUGUGGGAGCAAGAGCCCGGAGAUGGAUUCUGAGACAUGAAUCCAGGCCCUACGGGGCGCAGCAGGCGCGAAAACUUUACAAUGCGGGAAACCGCGAUAAGGGGACACCGAGUGCCAGCAUCUUAUGUUGGCUGUCCGCAUGUAUAAAUCACAUGUGUUAGCAAGGGCCGGGCAAGACCGGUGCCAGCCGCCGCGGUAACACCGGCGGCCCGAGUGGUGGCCACUAUUAUUGGGUCUAAAGGGUCCGUAGCCGGUUUGGUCAGUCUUCCGGGAAAUCUGACGGCUUAACCGUUAGGCUUUGGGGGGAUACUACCAGGCUUGGGACCGGGAGAGGUAAGAGGUACUACGGGGGUAGGAGUGAAAUCUUGUAAUCCUC
This 560-nucleotide ribosomal RNA is filed under the name uncultured archaeon. RNAcentral describes it as "bacterial SSU rRNA". It matches the Rfam family "Archaeal small subunit ribosomal RNA", at positions 89 to 650 of the family's 1478-position model. The record is from RNAcentral.